AGGACGAACGCUGGCGGCGUGCCUAAGCUUAUGCAAGUCGAACGCGAACGGCUCCUUCGGGAGCCUAGUAGAGUGGCAAACGGGUGAGUAACGCGUGGGUAACGUACCCUGAUCCUGGGAAUAACCCUCGGAAACGAGGGCUAAUACCGAAUGUGGCGAACGACCGGUUGGUCGCUCGCUAAAGGUGGCCUCUUCUAUGCUGCCGGGUUGGGAUCGGCCCGCGUCCCAUUAGCUAGUUGGUGAGGUAACGGCUCACCAAGGCCACGAUGGGUAGCCGGCCUGAGAGGGUGUACGGCCACACUGGCACUGAGACAAGGGCCAGUCCCCUAUGGGAGGCGCAGGCGGGAAUAGUUCACAAUGGGCGAAAGCCUGAUGACGCGACGCCGCGUGAGCGAAGAAGACCUUCGGGUUGUAAAGCUCUGUCAGGAGGGAAGAAGGCUCUACGGGUUAAUAGCCCGUGGAAUUGACGGUACCUCCAGAGGAAGCCCCGGCUAAAUACGUGCCAGCAGCCGCGGUAAUACGUAUGGGGCAAGCGUUGUCCGGAUUUACUGGGCGUAAAGGGCGCGUAGGCGGUUUGUUAAGUCGAAGGUGAAAUCCUCGGGCUCAACUCGAGAAUUGCCUUCGAUACUGGCAAACUAGAGUGGCGGAGAGGAAAGCGGAACUCUUGGUGUAACGGUGGAAUGUGUAGAUCUCAAGAGGAACACCGGUGGCGAAGGCGGCUUUCUGGACGCACACUGACGCUCAGGCGCGAAAGCGUGGGUAGCAAACAG
Molecule: ribosomal RNA, 770 nt
Filed under: uncultured organism
Description: bacterial SSU rRNA
Rfam family: Bacterial small subunit ribosomal RNA
Source: RNAcentral